Molecule: long non-coding RNA, 5490 nt
Organism: Cavia porcellus (domestic guinea pig)
Lineage: Eukaryota; Metazoa; Chordata; Mammalia; Rodentia; Caviidae
Exons: 3
Source: RefSeq, a predicted model, not a curated record
CCCCCUGGGCCACCUCUUCGUGUCCGCCCAGGAGCCCAGGAGUGGCCCGUGGCAUUCCGCUGUUCGUGCGGAAGCAUGGGAAGCAGGAGGCUGGAGGUGCAGCGGGGGUGCUGUUUUCCAUCGGAAAUCACGAGGGGUUUGACUUUGUGUGAUAAGACUGGAGCAGAAGCCAGCCGUUUUCUUUUUCAUCCUAGUUGUAGUUGCCACUCCAUUAUGACCCCUUGGAAAGCUCCUAAUAUGGGUCUUAUAUGAGAAAUUCAGAUUUAAACUGUGAAAUUUAAUACUUGUAUUAGAAUUAAAAAUAAAACGUCAGACUGCUGAUAGUCUUUUCUAUCCCAUAAUAACUUCAUUUAAUAUUUUUAUCUGUUUCUUCUAAUAUAUAUUUUUAUCUUCCUCAGGCAUUUUCUGAUAUUUAAUGGUUUUCCAGUCAAGAUAGAAUCUAUUGACUUGUGGGAUGAAGAUUUAGAUUUCACUGUAUCACUGGACAUGGUUUGAAUAGGUUGUUCAAAGUCGUGAUAAAGAACCUAACCUACCUAACUUGUAGAACCGUAGGCUUGCUAAUGUUGCUGCUAGUGUGAAAAUCUUUUUAGUUAAUGUUUGCUUUUUGGUGAUACCCUCCACAUGUACCUAGUUCUAAGCCUUUGCCUCUGUACCAAAAUCCAACAAUCUCUGUUUUAUUUAUUUUUUUUUGCAGAGAAGCUGUAGAAUUUGGCCCAGUACCUGGUUCUUAAGACCGUCCAGAUGAUAUAGGGGAAUGAAACUUCCACCCUACUACAUGUCCCAGUAGGAGUUCAUGUUCCCUAAAAUCAAAGAAUGAAUUUUAGGAACAAAAGUGGUUGAGAGUAGAAUAUAUUUAUUGAGAGAAAGAAUUUCUCUGAGAGAGAGACAGAAAGGGGUCCUGAAUGGGUUGCCAAAGACCAUCUUUUAAUAGGGACUUUUUAGAGUUAAACCAUGAGAUGAGAUGGGGCCAAGAUGGGAAAAACUGGGAACUCACAGGCAGACAGGCAUGAGGUGGGACAGAACUGUGGUCAACCAAUAAGAUUAACUGUUCAAGUAAAAUUGACCAAAUCAGGGACGAAUGGGGAAACCGAGUCACAGAGCAAGCAGACAUUCUUAAUGGAACAGUGACUCUUCUUAUAGAGGGCUGGGAUGGUCUCUAUUUAGAAUAUCAAUACUUGGGGUGUAGUUGCAUUCAUUUGCAGUUUGUUUUGAGUUCCGGUCCAAAGCAGAGGUAUCCAUUUCCUCCAAGUUUGGAAGGUAUCUGGUUUUCUGCAUUGGCUCCGUUAGAGAGUCCAGCCCUGUUUGACUGCCUACAAUAUUUCUAACUUACUUAGCUGCCUAUAACACAGAUAUUAGCAUACAGAGAAAGCCAGUCAACAGCAAUAACUAUCACAUUGGCUAUAGUACUGUUAUGGUUUGUGUCUGGAUAUGCUCCCAAAGCAUAUGCAAUCAUGGGGACAGGCUUCUAGAAUUUGUGAUUGAUUCAUGGUCCAAUGCUGGGAUUACAUCCACCCUAGGGUGUGUGGCUUACAUAAAAUAUAAGGGACAGAAAGAGUCUUCUCUCUGCACUCCUCUGCUUUUUGCUCUUGUAGCUUUUGCUGUCUUCUGCUGCCAUGAACCAUUGCCCUCUGCUAUGUGCCACUCAGCCCUGGAUCCAGCCAAGUAUGGACUGAAACCUCCACAAACUGUAAAAGAACAACAGAGAAGAUAUUCACAGAGUUUAACAUUCAUCAGAGGCUUACUAAAGAUGCUGGAGGAACACAGCAGUGUCAGAAAUAACUAAGAUAACAGGUGACUUUGAAUGUUGUUUUCUUACAAAAGCCACAGAGACAGACCUGCUCAGGAUGGAUGGCAAAUGCUAUCUUGCAAAGGGCUGGAAAUGCACACAACAGUUUGUGCAUGAGAUAGUUGUUCCAGGUCAAGGACUCUGGCUUCAUCAUUGGGCUGCAGGAUCUCAAAAUUGCACUGUGGUGAUCACAGUAUAGACUCUAGAGUUAGAUUUUUCUGUAUUUCAAUCCUAGUUCUGCUUCUUGCCAUUUGUAUAAUGGUAGUAAGUUACUUCUUUGUAUAUUAUUUUCCUCAUCUAUGAAAUGAAGAUAAUAGUACUGUUAAUGAUACAAAGUUGUUUAUGAGGAUAAAAACAAGCAUUUAGAAGGGGAAUUGAUACCAUAAUAUAUAGUUUUUCUUUAAACUUGCAUAAUACAAAAGAUGCUAUGCCAGGUGUACUUUAUGUAUUAACUCACUGCGGAAUUGACCUUCUAUGUUGAUGUUUAACUCACCCUGAUAGGCAGAUUAGAAAAUAGUUGGCAAACAGUGAAAACUUAUUGCAUUGCUGCCUGCAAGUCAAUAUUUAAAUGCUAACUCAACUGAUUAGGAGGGAUAAUUAUUAUACACUAUAAAAUUAAAAAAUAUAGAAGGUCUGCAGAGUCCUUCCUGAAGAUUAUGUAAGUGAUGCAAAGAGCACAAUUUUGGAGCAUGCAACUAUGCAUUUGAACUCUGAUUCUGCUAAUAAUUAACUGUGUGACCUUGGGCAUGUUAUUUACUAUUUCUGAUUCUUAGCUACCUUAUUUGUUGAUUGGUAAAAAUACUACUACUAUUUAGGGUGGUAUUUUCCCAUAGAAUUACAGUCAUGUAAUUGUUAGGCAAUGUUUGCCCUUGUGUGAACAUCACAGAGUGUACUUACAUAAGCGAAGACAUCAUUAUAUCAAUAUGUAAUAUGAGCACAUUGUUGUGUAUACAGUCCACUGUGAUCAAGACAUGAUUAUGUGCCAUUUGACUAUCCCCUGAGUGAUAAUUUUCUACUUAAUUUCUACUUUGAAAAAUGCUGGAAUAGAGGUGAUUUUUUGAGUCAGUUUUUAAAGAAUAAAUUUUUGAGCUCUAGAUUUUGGAAAGGCUUUUUGGUUUACUUGUAAGACAUACAGAAGGGUGUAUGUAGAAAGUUUGAAGAAUUUCAAGAAGGAGGUAGAUAAUUAUGCUUUUUUGGGUUGAUCAUGGGAGACAAUGGCUGUUGUUGCCUCUAAUGGGAGCAGCCCUUGUAGUCUUUUUUGUUUUCAUGAUUGUGAGAUUGUGUAGGUGAUCAGUUCUCAGUCCUCAGAUUACGGAUGAGAGAACUGAGGCCAGGUAGAGAAGUGAUAUCACACUUGUGGUGUCAACUUGUGCUAGACACAGAAACAGGACUCAGUAUUUCUGGCUUCUCUGGUCAGAAAGGAGCUGAGGUUCCAGCAUAGUCUUUUGUAGUCUUCAAUGGGAAUGUACUACUAAGCAUUCUGAGUCCCUGUCAUGUAAGAUUAUUCGUUAUUAUCUGAAGUUUCUAGUUUAGUGCCUCUGCUAGGUGACCAGUCUCUGGCUGCUAGCUUCCAGAAAUGCCUGGAGGAAAGAUGUUUUUUGGGCUUUACUGAUUCCUGUUGCUAAGAAUACCUCAGUGGGACUCACCAAAAGACUCUUCUUUCUGUGGUCUCACAUGUUAGAAUGGGCAAGGCAGCUCUCUGGGUCCUCCUUUUUAGGGUACUAGUCCCCUUCUUUCUUUGAAAUGGAAACUGGAUGAUAUAAAAUCCUUGACAGACCAGUGUGAUAGCAAUAUCAAGAUGCUGCCUUUGUGUGCCCCAGGGACAGGAGGACUGCUGCCUCACAUGUAUGUCAUUCAUGGAGUAGAAAAGAACAAAUGAGGUACAGGGUGGGCUGACAGCAUCUGCUUAGGAGCAGGAAUAAAUGAAGCAUCCUGUCAGAAGAGUUUAUUUCCACCUUCAUCUUAUUAUAAGGGAAGGAACGUGAGUUUUGAAGGGAGAGAUCUUGGAAUACAUUGUACCUACAUCUAGAUGAUCUUAGCCUAUUUAUUUGAAGUCACCCUUGGUUCCAAAGUCAGAGCAAAAGAAUCUGUACACAUGGGGUUGGAAGAUACAUUAUGGCCUGUCCCAUAGUGGCAGAGAUACAGGACAGACUGUCCUAGAUCCAGUUUCCAUCCCUGGUUCUAAUACAGAUGAGCUGGUGGCUUUCAGCAGUCUGCUUGAUCUCGGCUUUGCCACCUCUAAAUGAGUAAUAAAGGGCCAAAAGACUUCUGUUGGUCUUAACAACUCUGUUUGGGAAGGAGAUCCAAACCAUUUUUUCCUCCUGAUCAUUUCAGGAAGUGGCUUCCUUUUGGUAGUUUUCUGCCACUUUCUCAGCAUCAUCCUUGCAGGGUAAGAACCAGCAACUUUAAGUGAGUGUGCCAAGAAGUCUUGGCUAUUGUGAAAUAACAGCUAAUCUACUUAUGACUCCAGUAAAUGUCAGAAACACUAAGUAUUGCUUAUGAUGGUGCUCCCUAAAAUUUCUUGUGACUAUGAAAGAUCACAUCUCACUGAUACAUUGUUUAGAUAUUCAGAAUAACUUCCUGGAGAAGACCUUGACUUCUCCAGGUAUGAAUGGUGCUGAGAGAAGAAUCAACAGGGUCUUGUUUGUGGUGGCUGGGUCAGCACAGUCCUUGGGUCCUAUGGUCAGGGUUCUGGUCACAUUCUGGUACAUUUUUCAAUGCAGCCCUUGAUGUUUUCUGUCCCAGUUUCUUAUGAUUGGGAUCUAGAAUGUUCCCUGGAAGGCUUGAUUGCCAGCUGAUGGACUUUUAGGAAUUGACUGGAUCAUAGGGCUGUAAUUUUACCAGUGGAUCAACCCAUUGUUUGAUUCAUAAUUUUUUCAUAUUGAAAAAUGAUGGAUUCUUAGGAGGUGAAGCUUAAUGGUGAACCCGGGGGCUUUGAAGACUGUGUUUUGUCCCCAUUUCCUUCUAAUUUGGCUUUCUCAUUCUUUCUGUUUGCUGCUGGUGAGGUGAACAGAUAUGCUCUGCUAUGUUUUCUCUGCUAUGAUGCUCUGCCUCAUGCAGGCCCAGAGACAAUGCAGUCAAGCAAUCAUAGAUUGAAACCUUUGUAAAUCUGAAUAAACAUUUCUUCUUUUAAGCUGUUAUUCUCAGGUAUUUUGUCACAGCUAACACACAAUUCUUAUCUAUGAAGACACAUGCGAUGUCACAGGAAAAAAAACCAACAUUCUAGAUGUCCUUCAGAGUAUUACAGGAAGACAUUUCAGACUAUCUGUGGAAGAUGUAUGUGGAGAUCUCAGCCAAAAUUUAACUAAUAUUAAACUUGGCCCAUUCUUCGUCAUGCUGUAUUGAGGAAAAAAAGUCUACAAAUAGUAGACUAGAGUGGUAGAGAGACUCAGAUUAUGGCCUGAUGGUUUACUGAAAGUUUAGAAUAUCCCAAACUAGAAAAGAUGAUUAGAGAUAUUGUUAUCUAUGGAGGACCACCUGGAUAACUGUCCUUUACAAAUGAGCAAUUAUCUUCACUUUGGCUAAACCUGGCCCUAUUUCCAUGUACCCAAAUGUACAGAUCAGGCUCAGGCCAUUUCCUUUUCCCUUCAAUUGGCUCUAAGCAAUGUAGAUAGGGCUAGCUGAGGGGCUGACGUGUAAUCUUUGAAGCUAGGUGAUAGUUGCUAGGUGACAGUGGCUGUUUCCCUGCUCCAUGACUCCCCAAA